AGGAGGCAGAAGUGGAGGCCAAGGAUCGGGGAUUGUUCGAUUUCUUAAAGAAGAAGGAUGAAGACGAGAGGCCUCAAGAGGAGGUGAUCGUCACUGAGUUCGAGAAGGUUCAGGUCUCUGAACCCGAGCCCAAGAUCGAGGAGCCCCUAAGGAAGAAGAGGAGAAGAAGCAUUCUCUCUUAGAGAAGCUUCACCGAUCUGACAGCAGCUCCAGCUCCGUAAGUUCCAUUUAUAUAUUUUCUAUGUUGUAGUUAUAUUAUAAUAUUGGAAGAUUUUUUAAAUCAGCAUGACUCUGCUUGCGGUGUCACGGAAACUUUAAGUGUUCAUAGUCGCGAUCCGUAGAAUUAAUGUAUUAGCGGUUGAUCUGAGACCUUGUACGAUUAAUUGAAUGGUAAGUACGCUUCUAAUGGCUUUCCAAAUUUUGCAGUCCAGCGAUGAGGAAGAAGGUGAAGGAGAGGAGAAGAAGAAAAAAAAGAAGAAGGGUCUGAAAGAGAAGAUCAAGGAAAAGAUCUCAGGAGAAAAGGAAGAAGAGAAGAAAGAAGAGGACACCACAAUCCCUGUUGAGAAAGUUGAGGAGCCCGCUGCCCAUCCUGAAGAGAAGAAAGGAUUCCUUGAGAAGAUCAAGGAAAAACUUCCAGGCCAGCACAAGAAAUCUGAAGAGCCGGCCUCCCCUCCUCCUCCGGCAGAGAGUGCAGCCCCCGAGCCUGAGAAGAAGGGCAUCUUAGAGAAACUCAAGGAGAAGCUUCCUGGGUAUCACUCCAAGACUGAGGAAGCUGACAAGGAGAAGAAAGAGACGUCAGAUUAAGAAUUACAAGAUCUCAUGUUACUUUUUGAGUUAUGAUCGUUGUGUGGUUUAUUUAGUGUUCAAUUUUUUUUUUUUUUUUUUUCUGUUUCCUUCCUUGUGGGAUUUUCAGGUUCAUAUAUAAGCAUUAUAUACAGAGAUGCUUGAUAUACGUGCUUAUAUAUAGGCUUGUUUACUGAAUUACUAUGCAUGUUUUGGGGGAAGAAGGUCAAUCAUCCUCUGCUUCUAUGAUUCGAAAAGUGUUAUCAAGAGAUUUCUUUGCUUGUAAAUCUGAAGCUAUGAUUUCUAACUUCAUGCUUUCUUUCUUCAGCCUGCGAGUGAUUAUACUUUCUGGCCCCAUAUCGACCCUCUCUGUUGACACUCGAUUAGGGGCGAAUGUUCAUGAUUUUGAUUUAUUAACAAUAAAAUAAUUUGUGAUUUAUAUAAUCAUUACAAAAAAUAUUUAUUAUUAUAUAUUAUUAAUUAGAAUAAUAAUUUGUUUUUCAGGUCUCAAAUCAAUUUUAAAAAAGUUAGGUUCGAUUAUUUGGAUAAUAAUAUAUUCAUUUAAAAUAUCAUUAUAAACUACUUAAUUAUGAUUUUUUUAUAAUAAUAGAUUCCAUUAUAAACAUAUUACUAAAUUAUUUUAACUUAUAUAUUAUUCUAUAUUAAUUAUGAUUAUUUAAAUAAUAAUAAUUAUCGUAAUAAAAAAUUAAUAACAUAUUCUGCAUAUUCUGAUUCAAACAUAUUCUGCAAGAUUAAAUUUGAAUAUGAUUUAAUUAGAAACUUAUAUUUUAAUGAUUAAAUAUAUUCGCUAAUAACUUUAUGAGUGUGAUUAACAAAAAAUUUAAUUAAAUUAAAAUUUAAAUUGUGUAAUAGUAUCUUUUUAAUAUAAUAUAUAAUUAGGUGUGAUAAUUUUAAAAUUACGUGAAAUAAAUAAUAAUAAUAAUAAUAAAGUAAAUAUCGCAUAUACUUAAUUGGCCACUUAAGCAUAUAAUAUAUGAUUGGAUGUGAUAACUUUAAAAUUACGUAAAAUAAAUAAUAAUAAUAAAGUAAAUAUCGCAUAUGCUUGAUUGGCCGCUUAAGCAACAUAAUAACACAUGCCAAUCGAUAAAAGCACGCCUUGUCAACCUUCACAUUCGCGGAGCAAACUAAGAAUAUCUCAUCUCAUUGGCAACCCAACAAAAAUCCUUCUCAUAUUUUCUUAAAUAUUUUACACAACAAUGCAAUUUCGAUUCUCUUCACCACUAAAUACUAAGAAAUCAUUGUCUAGUAAAAUCCAACAAUGAGUAUCUACUUUUUUAAGUCUAUGAACCAACUCCAUAUAUGCUAUAUAUAUAUGUAUGUUAUAUGGGCUAGAUGAAAUGGUGUGACUAAGCAAAAAUGUGGAGAAGUGGCGUGCUUAUAGCUUUUGGGUUUAUAGUUGGUCUGAUUAUAAGAUUCACAAAUGGAGAGCACUUGAUUGGAUUGGGAAGCUAUGAUAUGACUGGUCCAGCCGCUGGGGUAAACAUGAUGGGUUAUGCCAAUAUGGAACAGGUCACCGCCGGUGUCCAUUUCCGGCUUAGAGCCAGGACUUUCAUUGUGGUCGACGGCAUCCAAGGUCCUAGAUUUGCUUUUGUUAACCUUGAUGCUGGCAUGGCUUCACAGCUUGUCACAAUUAAAGUGCUUGAGAAACUCAAAUCAAGGUACAACUACAAUACAAAUAAAUAGUCAGAACUAGCUAACUCAUCUUAUUAUUACUUGGGUUUUUUUUGAAAAAAAAAAAAAAAAUUAAUAGGCCAUGUUUAUGGAAUCUUGUAUUUGAAAAUUAAUUGAAGGUAUGGGAAUUUGUAUACUGAGAAAAAUGUGGCUAUAAGCGGCAUCCACACUCAUGCUGGUCCUGGAGGUUACUUGCAGUACUUGGUUUAUUCUAUAACCUCUCUUGGCUUUGUCAAACAAUCAUUUGAUGCAAUUGUGACGGCUAUUGAGCAGAGUAUUAUUCAGGCUCAUAACAAUCUCAAGCCCGGUUCAGUUUUCAUCAACUCAGGUAUGAUUUAAUUCCGAUAUCUAUUGGGUUUCUUCUUCGUUUUUCUGGCGCUGUCAUGUUAUAGUAAUCUGCAGGGGAUGUGGAAAAUGCGGGGAUAAACAGGAGUCCCAGUGCGUAUCUCCUUAACCCAGCAGAAGAAAGAGCGAGAUAUAAAUUCAAUGUGGAUAAAGAAAUGACCCUUUUGAAAUUUGUCGAUGGUGCAACCCAGAAGAGUAUAGGAGCUUUUAGUUGGUAUGCAACGCAUGGGACCUCCAUGAGCAGAGACAACAAGCUUAUCAGUGGAGACAAUAAGGGUGCAGCUGCUAGAUUCUUCGAGGACUGGUUUGCUUCCAUCACCAACUCUGCAUCUCCACCAGUCGGUGACGCAUCUGCUCAAGGUUAGUUAUCGAUCAGAAACAGAGUUAAUUGGGAGCUUAAUAAAAUUUUAGUCUCUACUCAUUUUAUUGUGUCUAUCACACAUGGGAAUGUUGAUAGAGAAAGCGAAAGCAAUCAAAGCAACAGGAGGACAACCGUGUGGUAAAACUACAAGCCAAAGCUUUAAGGUGAGAAAGAAUGGCGAAGGGUCAAGAUUUGUAGGAGCAUUUUGCCAAUCAAAUGUUGGAGAUGUAACACCAAAUGUGCUCGGAGCAUUUUGCACAGAUAGCGGGAAACCCUGUGAUUUUAAUCACUCUUCCUGUCAUGGCAAUGACCAGCUUUGCGUUGGCCGAGGACCUGGGUAUUUAUAGUCAUUCCACACAGAACUUUUGUCAAACACAUAACGGGUUUUGCUACGUUAAUUGGAUCAUGAUCUUUCUUUUGACAGAUACCCAGAUGAAAUAUUGAGCACAAAAAUCAUUGGGGAGAGGCAAUUUCAAAAGGCUGUUGAUUUAUUCAACUCUGCUACUAAGGAAUUGAGCGGCAAAAUCGAUUUUCGCCAUGUAUAUCUAAACUUCACCGAUAUUGAAGUGGAUAAAGAUGGAAAUACCAAAGCCAAGACUUGUCCUGCAGCUCUUGGUCCAGGUUUCGCCGCCGGGACUACUGAUGGGCCUGGUGCCUUCGGGUUUCAACAAGGCGACACAGAGGUGAAUACCAAAUUUCAUUCCUCGUAGACCCAUUUGCUUAAUUUUUUGAAAAUACUAAUACGUUUAUAUGACUUCAAGAUCAAUGAGCUAUGGAGAAAAGUGAGGGACUUGUUGAAAGAACCCAGCCAAUAUCAAGUGGACUGCCAAAAGCCCAAGACCGUUUUGCUUGACACUGGCGAAAUGUUUGUUCCUUACGCAUGGGCGGUAAGGAAUGCUACAAAAACUUCUCCAAAACAAGAUUAUCUUUUAAUUUCUAACUGAAAUCUAUGUUGAUGCAGCCAGCAGUUCUUCCAAUCCAGAUACUGAGGCUGGGAAAACUGAUCAUAUUGUGUGUCCCAGGAGGUUUUCUUUCUUUUCUCCCUUAUAAUAAAUUGAUUUCCCAUUCUGAUAAUUUCUUAUAUACAUAAAAACAAUUCAUUUUCUCAGUUCAUUAACAAAUCAAAUCCUCAAUACACAGAAGAAUGUUAAUCCAUGCAUGAUAGUAAUAUGUAACAUUAGUUGCAUGUUUUUGUGACUACCAAGCUCUAAAAGAAUGGGUUUGUUGAGACUUGCAGAGUUUACAACAAUGGCUGGUCGGAGACUGAGGGACGCAGUUAAGCAGACACUGAUCAGUAAUGGAGAAGGAGAAUUUGAUGAUGAGACUCGCGUUGUAAUAGCUGGCCUUACAAACACUUAUUCACAGUAUAUAGCCACUGUUGAAGAAUACACACAACAGAGAUACGAGGUAAUUAAAACAUGCAUCAUACUACAAUCCCCAUUAAAAACAAGAAGUUUUAAACUGUUGGUAGUUAAAAAUCACAAUAAAUUUUGCAGGCUGCUUCAACACUCUAUGGACCACAUACACUAUCUGCAUACAUUCAAGAAUUUAGUAAACUAGCAAAAGCAAUGGCACAAGGAACCACCAUUGAAACAGGCAUCUCGCCACCCGACCUUUCAUCAGUCCAACUGAGCCUCUUACCUGAACCCUCUGGAGACUCACCUCCACCGGGCAAAAAAUUUGGUGACAUCAAACAAGAUGUGAGUUCUGGUUCGUUCAAGAAAGGAGACAUAGUAAGCGCUACAUUUUGGAGCGCUAAUCCCAGAUACGAUCUGUUAACAGAAGGAACAUUUGCGGUGGUAGAGAAGCUUCAAGAUCUUCGUUGGAUUCCAGUCUAUGACGAUGAUGAUUUUGACUUAUAUUUCAAAUGGGGAUUAGAUAACGCUACAUUUUUUGGCUUAGCAACAAUUGAAUGGCAAGUGACGGAGGAGGCUACUUCUGGGCUUUAUCGUCUUAGACACUUUGGUUCAUCCAAGAAAACGAACUCCUCUCCCAUCAAAUACUUUACUGGCACAUCCAGUGCCUUCACAGUGUCAUAGUUACAUUUGGAGCUUGUUUUAUUAGGAAAAGAGUGCAAAAAUUUUCAACUUUACUUGAACAUUCAAAUCAUUAGAUAAUGUCAUAGAUGAUAUUGACAAUAAACAAACAUGAGUUAUAACUCUUUGAAAAAAGAAAAUUGUUACUGCAAUAAAAAUAACUUAUAAUAACGAAUAUUUUUAACCAUAGAUGAGAUUAGUUACUUAAGCUAAACAUAUACGGAUUCAACUGUUGUAGACGAAUGUUUAUACUGCUGGAAUCUGCAUUCACUUACGAAUUAAACUAUAAAUCUCAUAAGAUAGCCCAUUAAACCAAAGCCCCCUUUGUCUCUUCCAUAGAAAUUCAAAUGUAAUUCUAGUUCUUCUCUUUGUUUCUUCACUUAAAAGUUCAAACAGCCUCGUAUCAUUAACAGAUGUCCAUUGAAUAAAACCCAUUAAACCAAAGCCAAUAUAACAUAAAACAAAAAUACCCUUUGUCUCUUCCAAGAAUUCAAACAUAAUAUCUGAGUUUUCUCUUUGUUCUUUCAAUGGAGAUUCAGAUAGCUGCUUCUUUGUUAUUAUUCUUCGAGCUACAAAUGCGCAGGCCUCCACCAUUGAAAUAACAUCUCUUUCUUUUCUUCUUUUUUUUUUUCUAUCUUUUGCUUCGAGCUUCUUCUUAUCCUGAGCUAUGUUGAAUUCUUUAGUUUUAUGUAAUCUUGUUUAUUCUUAUUCUUUAAGAUUAUCCGCUCACAGCCAUGCCUCUUGUUGCUACGUUUUUUGUCAAUUCAACUUGACAUUUUAUUUGAAAUUUUUGGAGACUUUUCCACUUCGAGUAAAACUUUUAUAAUAUAAAACGAGAUAUCAAAAUGCAGUUCAUUCAAGAAAAGUGGUAUACCCAGUGCUACAUAUUGGAAUACUAGCUCAAUAUGUAACUUAAUACAGAAACCAUGUUUUUCAUUGUGCAUGAGCUUCAAGGCAAUCAGAUUUUAGUGGCACUGGUGAUGGCGGUUUUCACUUUUAUUUACGGAAGAGAAUAGAUAACACUAUAUUGUAUGGCUUAACAACCAUUAAAUAGUAAGUGGCUAAAGAGACUACCUUCAGGGAUUAUUGGCUUAGACAUUUUGCCUCAUUUUAGAAACCGCAAGGAUGAGUUUUUAAACAUCUUGUGUAUCCAAAAUAUCAUAGCUAUAAAGUAGACAAUUAAACGCAAGGAGCUUGUUUUAUUGCCAAUAAUAUAAAACCAUCAUUCUUUUCAAUCCAACAUUCAAAUAAAUAGUGUUCGGGCUUAUUUAUCCAUCCAAAUUACACAUCGGAUGCACUCGCCUUUAAGCAGCAAAUCAAAUGCUUUGUUGAUCUCUUCGAACUUAACCUCAUGUGUAACGAACUCAUCAAGAUGCAGUUCCUGAAAUGAUUUUCAUAAAAACUGUCAAUAGGAUUUAAUGUAUGUAUAAAAGAAAGUGAUCAAGUGAAAGAAUGUUACCUUGUUCAAGUAAUGAUUGAUAAGAACCGGAAUAUCUGAUUUCGCUUUGAUUCCUCCAUACAGACAUGCUGUUAUGGUUUUUGUGCUUUGAAGAAACUCCAUGGAGUUGAACUUCAACUCCGAGUCUGGCUUAUCCAAUCCCACCAUAAUUGUCUUUCCCCAACCCUGAUCUUCCACAAAGAUUACAUGAUAGAUUAUUAUUAGCUUACCAGAUGAAUUACAAUCAUUCUCAUACGAGUCAUGAAUUAAAUUUUCCAGGUUACACAAUAAAACUAGAGUGAUAGUCUGAGAGAGACCUUUCUAGAACUAGCAUAUGCUUCUUGCACCAACGAUGCUCUACCAACGCAUUCAAAACAGUAAUCAGCACCUCCACCGGUCAUCUCUUGGAUCACCUACGUACUCGACAAAAGAAAUGAGAAAGGUUAUUAGUGAUUUGAUUCAUGAAGGUCUAUACUAUAUGCUUUAUCACAAGUUAUUUGAAACAUUAUGUUUACUAAGACAUUUCUCAACCAUCUUGUUAUACUCUAUUCAAGAAAUAAAGAGAAAUGCAGGAGGAAUACUCACCUGGCUUACGGACUUAUCUCCACAGUCCUUUGGAUUUACAAAUUCAGUAAUACCAAACUUUUUGCCUACAUGAAAUACAAAUAUAAAAUCAACCGAAAAUAAGUAUCAUGUGUUUUUUAACGUCUGGGGGAAUAGAAAAGUAAUUUCGAGCACAUAUAUAUAUAUAUAUAUAUGUUAACUGACCAACUUCAAAUUUUUCUGGGUUCACAUCGACACCUAUUAUUUUGGUAGCACCGCAGAGUCGUCCUCCCUCAGCAACCUAAAAUACCACCAUAGAGGAAAGUAAUUUACAUAUUUUAUACACAAUAAUAUUACACAUGAAAGUACAUAAUAAGAAGUAAAACAAUUUAAAUAAUAAAGAAGAAUUGCAAGAGAAUACCGCUAGUCCAACUGCUCCUAACCCAAAUAUAGCAAUGGUUGAUCCUGCCUCCACUUUUGCUGUUUUCCAAGCAGCACCAAUCCCUGAAACACAACAUUUUAUUGGUUAUUGACUACUAGUUUAGUAGCUAGCUAAGUAAGUGUAAUGUUGACAUAUAAAUCUUUGAUAGAUUUACCUGUCGAAACUCCACAACCAAGGAGACAUGCUAAAUUUGGAGGGAUAACAGGGUCAAUCUUUGUUACAUGGGCAAUGUCUACAACAGUGUACUCGCUAAAACUCGACACAUUUGAGAAGUGAAAUAAAGGUUGUCCAUCAAGAUCUGAGAAUCUACUUGUUUCAUAUCUAGGCAUCCAAGGAGUGGUUUUGAAAGGAACACCUGAACAAAGAUUACUUUUAUCUGAUUUACAAUCCAUGCAAUUCUCACAAUUUGGUAUAAAUACUGGGAUAACAGUAUCUCCUUCCACCACUUCAUUUACAUAUUCUCCAACGCUCUCCACAAUCCUGAAACAUGAUCAAGGAAGCUUUAUUUCCAACACUUUAAGAAUUACAUAUAUAUAUAUAUAUAUAUGAGAAACCUCUGAUGAAAAAGUUAUGAGAAUUAAAAAAAGAACAUAUAAUAGAUAAUCUUUAAUUUUUACGUAAAAAAUCAUUAUUGAAAAAAUACUGCAUAACUAAACAAGACAAAGAAAUAUGAAAAUCAGAUUUUCUUCAUUAUGUAUUCGUACUUUUUUAAUGACAAAGAUAGACUUUAAUUUUUGUUAUAUAUAUAUAUAUGUGUAUAUUUAAACAUAAUGUAAACUAAACACAAAAAAGAAAAAAGGAUGUAAACGACAAUGUAACUCACCCGAUAGCUUCAUGGCCGAAGAUCGUUGGAAAGUAACUGGCCUUUAAACACAUAAUACAAGCGCAAACAAAUAUAAAUUGAUAAGUUAAUUCUUCAGUCCAGAUUAUAUAUAUAUAUAUGACUUACGUAUAUAUGUAUAGACAAACCAUAUAUGUAUAUUAGAGAAAGAGAUUUAGCGAGACCUUCAUCCUCCAAAAGCUUAUGUCACUCAAGCAAAGAGAGGUGCAAAUUAUCUUGAUCCGAACCUCGUGAGGACUAGGCGGAGCUACCAUGAUCUCCUCCAUGAUUAGAGGCGUCCCUGCUUCGCGACAUACGGCAGCUAUAGUUUGUUCAUGCAAAGUGAACAAAUAAAUCCUCUCAAAUUAAAUCAUCAAAAAGAGAAUAGGAAACUAGUAGAAUAAACUAAUGAAACUUAGAUCAUUACCUCUGCAUCGAAUUGGUUUCCCAGCGGUUUUGUUUCCAGAAUCCAUGAGGAAAGCAGAUGAAAAAACUCACUAGUACAAAGUAUGAUGAAUAUGGUUGAUGGGGGUUGGCGGUGAAAGACAAAGGAGCCAUAGUAUUUAUAAUUAAACUAAAUAUGCUUCCUCAUGAGCUACCAUAAAUGACUGCUAAUUCUAGGGUGAAUAAUGUAUUUAAUCUUGGCCUUUUGAAUUUGAAAACUUAUUGACUGCUAAUUCUAGGGUGAAUAAUGAAUAAAUGAUCAUAACUCUCUGUCAGUCCCUAGUGGAUAAAUUUACUUAGUAAUUAAUUGAUUUUCAUUUGAUGCGGUGAUUUUAGACUAUUAUAAAUUCAAUAUCAAUAAAUGAACGUAACUCAUUUGACUUUUUGAAUUCGAAAAUUUAUUAAUGGUCAAUUAAAUUUCAUUUGAUACAUUGAUUUUAGAGUAUUAUAAAUUUAAUAUCAAUAAAUGAUUGUAACUCACUGUUCUUAAAUAGAUAAUGUAGUAAUCUUUGACUUUUUGAAUUUAAAAAUUUAUUGGUGGUUAAUUGACUCUGAUUUGAUACACGAUUUUAGAGUAUUAUAAAUUUAAUAUCAAUAAAUAAUGAAACUCAUGUCAGUCCCUAAAUAGAUGAUAUAAUAAUCUUGACUUUUUGAGUUUAAAAAUUCAGUAUCAAUAAAUGAUUGUAACUCACUGUAAGUCCCUAGGUGAAUACCGUUGUAAUUUUGACUUUUUGAAUUUGAAAAUUUAUUGGUAGUUAGUUGACUCUCAUUUGAUAUAUUAAUUUUAGAGUAUUAUAAAUUCAGUCUCAAUAAAUUAACAUAACCGGCUACCUGUUCCUAUGUGGAUAAUGUAGUAAUCUUAACCUUUUGAAUUUGUAAAUUUACUGAUGGUUAGUUAACUUUUAUUUGAUACAUUAAUUUUAGAGUAUUAUAAAUUCAGUCUCAAAAAAUCAUCAUAACUGCUUACUAAUCCCCAUAUAAAUAAUAGAGUAAUUUUAACCUUAUGAAUUUAGAAAUUUAUUGUGGUUAGUUGACUCUCAUUUAGUACAUUAAUUUUAUAGUAUUAUAAAUUUUGUCUCAAUAAAUUACCAUAACUGGUUACUAGUCCUUAGGUGGAUAAUAUAGUAAUAUUGACCUUUUAAAUUUAGAAAUUUAUUAGUAGUUAAUUGACUCUCAUUUGAAACAUCGAUUUUAAAGUAUUAUAUAUUCAGUCUUAAUAAACUAAUAUAAUUGGCCGCUAGUCCCUAGGUGUAUACUGUAGUAAUCUUAACGUUUUGAAUUUGUAAAUUUAUUAGUGUUUAAUUGACUCUCAUUUGAUACUUUAAUUUUCGAGUAUUAUAAAUUCAGUCUCAAUAAAUUAUCAUAAUUGUCUGCUAGAUCAUAGGUAGAUAAUGUAAUAAUCUUUACCUUUUGAAUUUAGAAACUGAUUCUCAUUGAUACAUAANNNNNNNNNNNNNNNNNNNNNNNNNNNNNNNNNNNNNNNNNNNNNNNNNNNNNNNNNNNNNNNNNNNNNNNNNNNNNNNNNNNNNNNNNNNNNNNNNNNNNNNNNNNNNNNNNNNNNNNNNNNNNNNNNNNNNNNNNNNNUAAAUUCAGUCUCAAGAAAUUAUCAUAAUGUCUGCUAGUUCAUAGAUGGAUAAUAUAGUAAUCUUGACCUUUUGAAUUGAAAAUUUAUUAGUAUAUAGUUGACUCUCAUUGAUACAUUAAUUUAGAGUUUUAUAAAUUCAGUAUCAAUGAUUCCUAUAUGGAUAAUGUAGUAAUUUGACCUUUUGAAUUUAAAAAUUUAUUGGUGGUUAGUUGACUGUCAUUUUAUACAUUAAUUUCAGAGUAUUAUAAAUUCAGUCUCAAUAAACUAACAUAAGUGGCUGCUAGUCUGUAGAUGAAUAAUAUAAUAAUCUUAGCCUUGUAAUAUUGAGAAAUACAUCAUCUAUAUUGAGAUAUAUAUUUAAAUAUAUUUGAAAAUUUAUUGAUAGUUAGUUGGUUCUCAUUGGACACAUUAUUUAGACUAUUACAAAUUUAAUCUCAUAAGUUAUCAUAACUGUCCGCUAGUUUUCAGGUGGAUAAUAUAAUAGUCUUUAUCUUAUGAUAUCGAGAAAUAUAUCAUUUAUAUUGACUUAUAUAUUUAGAUAUAUUUAAAAAUUUAUUAGUUAUUAAUCGACUCUCAUUUGACAUAUUGAUUUUAUUCUAUUACAUAUUCAAUUUAUAAAAAGUGACAAAAUUGAUUUGUAGCUUUAAAAACCACACUAUUGCUUAGUCUAUAAAUUAAUAAACCAAAAACUCAACAUUACAUUCAACACUUCAGGAAUCUCAUUACCACUCGUGAUAAGAUGGAAAGCAUAUGAGUAUACGAAUUCAAUUAAGUCAUGAAAUAAAGUCAAAUUCUUUCUUUCUUUUUUUUCCCUUCACCUACAAAGGGAAAAAAAUGGCCUAUUACUCGUAUUUAAGUCAAUGUCUCCAAAUGAAGGUAGAUGUAAAACUCUUUAUGUAAACGAAUUGACUUAUCCCGUAAAAUGUGAAUACAUUGCUUCAAAGGGUCAUGCAAGAAUUUUCUUUCCUAUAGAUAUAUUACAUAUUGAUAUCUUAUUUUCUAUAAAGAAGAGUCCUAAUAUCAUCAAUCAUAAUCAUAUAUUAUGUACAAAAUUCUAUACGAACAAAAUUAGUGUAACCAUAUUAAUAGAAGUGUCUAACUACAUUUUUAUCUUCAAUUUAAAUUUUUUAAGGUUAACAAAGGCUUUGGUUUCUCAUAUUAGCCAAAUAAUUAGAGGAAAUUAUCCUAAUUAACAAUAAAUGUCAAAUUUAUCGAAUCCCAAAUAAAAAAUUUAAAUGAUCAAAUUAUAAUAAAAAAAAUAUUAAAUAUCAAAUUAUAAUAAAUGUCAAAUUUUAAUGAUUAAUUCAUUAAUUUACUCUAAAUUUUUUAAAUAACUUCUAAAAAAAUUGACUUUACAACAAUAAAAAUAGAGUAUCGUAUCAACUUCUUUACAAGAGAAUUAUUUUUAUUGAAUAAAAUCAUCAUCAAUUCCAUCAAAUUAAUGUAAAAACAUAAUUAUGUGAUAUAAUAAGUGUAUAAAUAAAUACCAAUAGUUAUGUUUGAGUCGGCCACUUCCCAUCAAAUUUUUCCUUCCAUAGAACACAACGAGUGCACUUUCCUUCACUAAGCAAAUCAAAGGCUUUGUUGAUAUCUUCGAAUUUCAUCUCACGUGUAAUGAAAUUUUCAAGUUCAAAUUCCUAAAAGAAUUACCAAAAAUCAUAUCAACAAAUAAUUACAUAUGUUAGAUAAUUAAUUGAAUUGAAAUCGAAGAAAUUAGUACGUAUAAAGUAGCAUCAUAAGACUAUUCUAAAACAUACGCUACAUUUAGAAUAUAAAAGAAUUUCUUAAUAUAUAUUUUUUUCUAUACUGGUAUAUAUUUAUAUAUAAAGAAGACACCAAAAUGUUUUCAAUAAAAAAAAAAAGAAACUAAAACGUUACCUUAUUCAAAUAACGAUUUAGAAGAAUGUGAAUAUCGUAUUUAACUUUGAUACCUCCAAACAAAGACCUAAUUAGUUUUUUUCCAUCCCGUAUAAGUUCGUAAAAGUUUAAGAUCAAUUGUGACCCCGAUUUAUCUACACCUACUACAAUUGUCUUUCAACAAUCUUGAAUUACAAAAAUUUUAAGAUAAUUAUUAAAAAUAUUCUUACUAUUAAUAGUUAGAAUAUUUUUAAAUCAAUUUUUAGACGUUAAGAUUAAAUUUCUUUCAAUUCUAAUAAAAUAUAUGUUAUUUAUAUUUAAACUAGAAAAUUUUCAAUAAAUAUCUCAUAUAAAUAUGUUAUUUUAUACAAACACAUAUACUAACAAGCGUAUUAUGAACAAAUCAUAUAAUACCCAAAAAUAAAUAAAUUUCAAUAAAUAUCUCAUAUAAAUAUAUUAUUUUAAGCAUAUACAUAUACUUGCAAGUUUAUCAUGAACAAAUCACAGAAUACAAGGAAAUAAACAUCAUGAUAUCACCAGCUAGUCAUCCUGUAGAAUUGAAAAUUUAUGGAUUAGCAAUUAUGUAAAGUUAGUUUCAUGCAUUUAACUGUUGCCUCAGCAUUAUACAGUGUUUUACCUUCAAAGCUUUAACUAUACAUGCUUAUAAACCUUACCAUGACAUGUAUAUGUAAGUUCGUGCCACCAAUAUGCAUAUAAAGUGCUGUAUAAAAUUUUGGGAAACGUAUGUAAUUUUCAUAUAUAAUCACAGUUAUAGCCUAAAAUAUCAUUGAAGUAAGAGUAAUAUAACACACCAGCAAAUUCAGAGAAGUAAAAAAAACCUUUUUGCAGCAAGCAUAUGCUUCGUGCACCAAGGUAAAGCAGCAGUCUGCACCACGAUCACCAGUCAUAUCCAAGAUUACCUAUUCAACCACAUUAAACAAGCUAGUUAGUUCUUUAAACUUGUUUUUACCAUUACAAAAAUUUCUAUCUUUUAUGAUGUAUAUGGAUAUAACUUUAAUAUUUAUCAUAUAAAACCUCUUUCAGUGGCUUAUCCCCACAAUCUUUAGCAUUCACAAAUUCUGUAAUCCCAAACUUUUUUCCUACAUGGUUCAGAAAUCAAACACAUCAGCGUAGAAAUCAUAAAACCCAUGUCGGCCAUUACUUCUUGAAAACAUUAACUCACCAAUUUCGUGUUUUUCUGGAUUCAUAUCAACGCCUGUAAACCUCGUAGCACCACGUAGUCGUGCUCCCUUUGCAACCUAGAAAUUACCUCUCAUAACGUAAAACUUUUUUUAUCGUAUCACAUGCAAGUGUGGAAUUUUGAAGAAAUAUAUACAUGAAUUGUUUGUAAUUGUUCAAAAAGAAAAUUUUGCUAGACAAUACCGCUAGUCCAAUUGACCCGAGCCCGAAUAUAACCACAGUUGAUCCCGCCUUCGCCUUUGCUGCUUUCCAAGCUGCACCUACCCCUAUUAUACAUAUAUAAAUUUAGUCGUAGUUUUUUGUUUACUUAAGCAGACUUUCAGAAGAUGAUAAUAUUAAAUGUCAGUACCUCUUGAAACCCCACAACUGAAAAGAUAUGCUAAGCUUGGAGGAAUUACAUCUUCACUAUCUGGGUUUUAUCUGUUACAGUAUAUUCACUAAAAACUUGAUACAUUAAGGAAGUGAAACAAAGUCUCUCCUUUGAGGUCUGUAAACCUACAAGAUUCAUAUCCAGGCAUCCAAGGAGAAAUUCUAAAUGGGAAUUUAAAGACAAACAUUGUUUUUCUUUAAUAUGCAGUUUUCACAUCCUCCACAAGCAGAUAUGAAUACUGGGAUAACAGUAUCUCCUUCAGCCACCUCAUUUACAUGGUCUCCAACACUGUCCACAACCCUACAACACAUUUAAUUCAUAGUAAAUUCAAGUACGUUGAUGUUAGACUAAUGGAGAAAUAAUAUUAAUAAUGAUAUUGAAAAUUCCAAGUUUAUUUGAGAAUACACGAUGAACAUAAGACAAGUACGAGUGCAAAAUCUUAUUAUUUUAACUAAUAAUUUAUACAUCAUUUAAUUUGUUAAGAAAAAAAUUAUAGAAGACCGACGUAGAGAGUACCAAAUUGAGGAACUUAAAAAGAGAAAACGCCUAAGGUGUUUUCUAAGACACUAAAGAACAUUAUAACAAAAUUUUAUGGUGGACCACGAUAAUGGAGGGUUCAAGGCAAAUAUCACACUUAUCAUCUCCCAUUAACACUCAUUUCUUGUCUCUAACAUUAGAUUUUUUAGUGAAGAGUUUUCUUUUUUUGAAUGUUUAAAUAUCUACUAUAAUAUAGUAAUGUUAAAGUUGCUCGCCCGAUAGCUUCGUGGCCCAGAAUUCUUGGAAAGCAAGCAGGAGGAAUCUUCAACCGGGUAUCACACAGACAAGAAGCAAACGAACAAAAGCAACUCUUUUAAGUCCAUAACAAUACACUGUACAUAAUAGAUAUAAAAUUAUUCUUUUUCAAAGAAGAAGAAAAGAGAAAGAGAUGGAAAGAGGACCGUCAACUUCCAAAAGGUAAGAUCGGUGUGGCAGAGAGCGGUGCAGAUGAUCCGAAUCCGGACCUCACGAGGACUUGGUGGAGCCACCACGAUGUCCUCUAUGACCAGAGGCUCCCUUGCUUCCCGACAAACCGCAGCUGCAUGUAGUCGGAAAGCCAAAGUUUUGACCUUUUAAAAUCAAUAAACCUACGAGGCAACAAAUUCAGACCAGACCAUACCUUUGCAUCGUAUCGGCUUCCCUGAUGUUUCCCUCGGGUCCAUGAUGAAAACCAGGUAUACCGAAGCUGUUAAUAUAUUAUGUAGAGAUGGAUUUGAUCAGCGUGAGUGGUGGAAGAUAAACAAGAUCGUCCCAGAAUCUAUAGAUGCACGGUUUCUUUUCUAGUCAGAAGAGUCUGAGUGCAUUGGGAAUCAACCAAUUAUGGGUUUUUUGUUAUUACCGAAUACUAUUUUCUUAAUUCAUACGUAUAUAUCUGUUUGUAAUAAAUGCCUUCACAUUAAUCAUCUUAAUAUAGUUGAUUAAUAAGUUGAUAUCGCGUUGUAUAGAUUACGCUACAGUUCCAGCUUUUCCCAUACCUGGACUGAACCUAGACAACCUUUGUACAAGCAGUUAAUACGGUGUAAUCUAACCAGAUAAAUGCAAAGUAAUUAAGGAAUCAGAAUACUGGCAAUGCUGCGGAUUAUUUACCCAAAUGAGCAGAUUAAAGCAUUUGUAGAAACCUAUAUUUGUUAUAAAUAUAUGAUAAUUUCUAAAAUGGUAAAUUUGGGUAAUAAAAUCAUAUAAGCACAAUUAAGGGAAGUGCAAAUGAGGAAUCGAUUCAAGAUCUUAUCAGAAAAAAGACUUCACAAGCUGAUAACACCAAGAAUAUAACACAAGCUUAGAUUCUUAAGUGUAGUUUCAUAAUUCUGCCUCCUUGACAUUUUUAAAGCUAACUUUAUAGCUCAUUCUAGCCUUCAUCAAGGUGUUAGACAUAACCGUUCAAUCAAAAAUAACACGAAUCCAAACAAAGGGUUCGAGGUAAAUCAAGCUCGAGCCAAUUAACGAUUGUGUAGGGUACCGGACCGACAACAUUCGGUCGAUAUUCUUUAGCACCUCAACUCAAGAAAAUCGUUGUAAAAAAAUAAAUAAAUAAAAGUUCUAAAAUCAAACAAAAAUGAUAUAAAAAUAUUAUGCUGCAAGAAUAAGCAUAAAUAUAUGUGAUUUAUUUUUUAAUUUUUUUUCUUAAUAUAAAUUCAUACAUUUUAUUGAAAUUAAAAAUAAUAAAUUCUCCUGAUAAGCACAAAUAAAACAUAAUAGUUUAAUAUUUAAACUCAUAUCUUUAUUAAGAUAUGUAGAAAGUAACAAAUGGUUGAUAAGAAUAAAUUUUUUAUAAUUUUUCAUCCAAAAAAAAAAAACAAAAAUUAAUUAAUAUUAUAACAAAGGCGCAACACGAAGAUCUCGUCCAAUGUGCUCAGAGAAUCUCGCUCGCUGCAGGUGGAGAAGGUGAAGGUGAAGGUUUAAAAGCAAUUGCUACGGAGACUUCUGUAAUUGCCUCCUUCUCUUUUUGUAGGUUUCCAUUAAUACUGCAGCUCGGUGUCCGAAGAUCAUCUUCAGAUUUGCUUUUGUAAGUUAACGAGCCACACAGUAGUACUCAGACUGCUUCAAAUCUUAGUUAUUAAGAAUUUACUUGAUUUUUUUCUUAAACAAGGACAAGAUAAAAUGGUUAUUUUAUUUGAAUUAACAACGUUUAUGGCAGUUGAUCCAUUUUGUAGGCAUCCUCAAGUGGGCUGAAGCAAACAAAAUCAUAAGAUUAAUUUCUCGGGGGCUCGCGGAUCGGCCCGGCCAUCACCGAUGCUUAUUUUAGUACCAUAUCCGGAUAAAUAUAAGCAGAGUAAUGUUUGACAGCUUUGCUGUUUGGUGUACCAUAUAUAUAUAUAUAUAUAUAUAUAUAUGGACCCCCUCUCCACUCCCCUCUUACGCCCUCACCUGCUUUCAGUCGUUCUUGGCUUCUAGUAAUAUUCUUCGAUUAAUCUAGAUUCAUUUCCCGUCUUCUUUCGUCAUGGAUUCCGGCAAUCUCUCAAGCAAAACCGCAGGCAAACCCAUUCGAUGUAAAGGUAAGUUCACCUUAUCCCGUCGAUUUAUCUCAAAAAUGCUCUCUCUCGUUUUUUACCUCUUGAAUCCAGAGCCAUGGAAUUUGACCAAGUUUAAUUUUCAUUUCGCCGUGAACAAACUGUAGCCGCCGUUUGUCGCAAAGCAGGGGAGCCUCUGGUCAUCGAGGAAAUCAUCGUGGCUCCGCCGAGUCCUCAUGAGGUUCGCCUCCGGAUCAUCUGCACCACUCUCUGCCACAGCGAUCUCACCUUUUGGAAACUGACGGUCUUCUCUCUCUCUUUUUAUCUCUUCAUUAUUUCUUUAUCUGUUUAUAUACGUGCAUAUAUUACAUAUACAUAUAUAUAUAUAUAGAGAGAGAGAGAGAGAGAGAAUGAGUUGUAUGAUCUGGAUUGAAGAGUUAUUAUUUUCUGCGGGAUCCAUGAUUUGCAGGUUCCUCCUGCUUACUUUCCACGAAUUCUGGGCCAUGAAGCUAUCGGGUAAAAGCCAGUCCCUUCCAUUCUUCUUUUCCGCUACAUGUGUUCUAAAUUGUUAAAACGUAUUCUCAAACAAAACUUGUUAUUAAAAAUUAUUAAUACUAUUUAAUUUACUUAAUUAUGUUCUAUAAUCAGUACUAAAUUUUAAAUAAUUAUCAUAAUUAUUUAAAUAAUAUUAAAUACUUUGUAAUUUUAUAAUCGUUGCAAUUAUUGGUAAUAUAUUUAUUUCGAUUUAAUGUGUUUAUUUAAUGAAAAUAUUAAUUUUUUUUUUUUUAAAGCAUUCCAAGUGAUACACCUUGCAAGAUAUGAACAAAGAGGGCAAGAUAUUAAUGUUAAAAUUUAUUUUCUACAACAAUCUCGUUUUCAUUAAUGGAUUUGCUGAAGAAUCCCUCCAAGAAUCGCCUGACGCCAUUAAGAUAAAGACCCAUCUUGAUUUUUUCUUUCAAUUUAAUGUAGUUCGUCUAUCCUUUUCUCUCCCUCUCUCUCUCUCUCUCUCUCUCUCUCUCUCUCUCUCUCUCUAUAUAUAUAUAUAUAUAUAUAUGACAGAUCUGUUUACAGUAUGAAAUGACAAAUUAAAUAUUAAUUAAAUUAUUAAAUAGUCCUGCAUGCCUGCAGUAUGCAUAUCUGUAGGAUUUGAAUCAAGGCAAUUGUUAUUUUUAUCUUCUUCCUGGUGGAGUUUUCUUUUGUCUCGAGCUUACUGGUAUACUCCCCAAUAGAUGUUGUAAUUAUGUUAUAAUUAGUGAUAUAAUUGUUAGUGUUAUUCUUCGUUACUUGAGGGUUAAAUAUGUUUCAGGGUUGUGGAGAGUGUGGGAGACAACGUAGAUGAAGUGGCAGAGGGAGAUACUGUCAUUCCAAUAUUCAUCUCUGAUUGUGGAGAAUGUGAAGAUUGCACGUCAAAGAAAAGUAAUCUUUGUUCUAAAUUCCCUUUUGAAGUGUCUCCUUGGAUGCCUAGAUACGACUCCACUAGGUUUACAGAUCUCGAAGGAGAUGUUUUGUUUCACUUUCUCAAUGUGUCGAGUUUUAGUGAGUAUACUGUGGUAGACAAAACUCACGUCGUAAAGAUUGAUCCCACCAUCCCUCCAAACAGAGCAUGUCUUCUUAGUUGUGGAGUUUCUACUGGUAAACCAUUAAGUUUAUCAUCUCUAAAAAUUUUAUAUAAUUUACUAGUAAGUACUGAUAAAUAAAUAUGUACAUAUACAUAUAUAUGUGUGUAAAAUUUGAGAUGAUAUAGGGGUUGGUGCGGCUCUGAGAACAGCAGAUGUUGAGGCAGGAUCAACUGUUGUUAUUUUUGGAUUAGGGUCAAUUGGAUUAGCGGUAUUGUAUCGUACUAAUUUCUUUCCAAAAAUUCAUAUUCAUCGUGAUAUAUUGAAAUGCUUUUUAUGUUGUGAGAGAGUUUUUCAGGUUGCAGAAGGAGCACGUUUAUCUGGUGCUACGAGAAUAAUAGGUGUUGAUGUAAAUCCAGAAAAAUUUGAAACUGGUGACUUGACUUCGUUUUCUCUUUGUGACUUUUUUUUUUUCUUUGUUUUUUUU
RNAcentral lists this long non-coding RNA (18943 nucleotides) under Carica papaya (papaya). Its description in RNAcentral is "long non-coding RNA (CPAP_LNC010568)". Lineage: Eukaryota; Viridiplantae; Streptophyta; Magnoliopsida; Brassicales; Caricaceae. The record is from RNAcentral.